Molecule: unclassified non-coding RNA, 145 nt
Filed under: uncultured fungus
Lineage: Eukaryota; Fungi
Description: sequence contains ITS1, 5.8S rRNA gene
Source: RNAcentral
UUGAUUCUUUUGAUAUUCAGACACAGCCUCACUGGGCAUAAAGGCGGCGCCUUGAGCGCCGAAGCACGCUUUGCUUCCACAGAGUUGAGGGGUUGAAGGCCGGAGCCAUUCAUUAAUGAUCCCUCCGCAGGUUCACCUACGGAGA